GACGAACGCUGGCGGCGUGCCUAAUACAUGCAAGUUGAGCGAUGAAGAUUGGUGCUUGCACCAAUUUGAAGAGCAGCGAACGGGUGAGUAACGCGUGGGGAAUCUGCCUUUGAGCGGGGGACAACAUUUGGAAACGAAUGCUAAUACCGCAUAACAACUUUAAACAUAAGUUUUAAGUUUGAAAGAUGCAAUUGCAUCACUCAAAGAUGAUCCCGCGUUGUAUUAGCUAGUUGGUGAGGUAAAGGCUCACCAAGGCGAUGAUACAUAGCCGACCUGAGAGGGUGAUCGGCCAAAGUGGGACUGAGACACGGCCCAAACUCCUACGGGAGGCAGCAGUAGGGAAUCUUCGGCAAUGGACGAAAGUCUGACCGAGCAACGCCGCGUGAGUGAAGAAGGUUUUCGGAUCGUAAAACUCUGUUGGUAGAGAAGAACGUUGGUGAGAGUGGAAAGCUCAUCAAGUGACGGUAACUACCCAGAAAGGGACGGCUAACUACGUG
Molecule: ribosomal RNA, 497 nt
Filed under: uncultured bacterium
Lineage: Bacteria
Description: partial 16S ribosomal RNA
Rfam family: Bacterial small subunit ribosomal RNA
Source: RNAcentral